GACGAACGCUGGCGGCGUGCUUAACACAUGCAAGUCGAACGGAAAGGCCCUGCUUUUGUGGGGUGCUCGAGUGGCGAACGGGUGAGUAACACGUGAGUAACCUGCCCUUGACUUGGGGUAACUUUAAGGAAACGGGGCUAAUAACGGAAAGGAGCUCCUGGUUCAUGGGGGGGGGUGGGAAAGUUUCGGCGGUUGGGGUUGGACUCGCGGCUUAUCAGCUUGUUGGUGGGGUAGUGGCUUACCAAGGCUUUGACGGGUAGCCGGCCUGAGAGGGUGACCGGCCACAUUGGGACUGAGAUACGGCCCAGACUCCUACGGGAGGCAGCAGUGGGGAAUAUUGCACAAUGGGCGGAAGCCUGAUGCAGCAACGCCGCGUGCGGGAUGACGGCCUUCGGGUUGUAAACCGCUUUCGCCUGUGACGAAGCGUGAGUGACGGUAAUGGGUAAAGAAGCACCGGCUAACUACGUG
RNAcentral lists this ribosomal RNA (468 nucleotides) under uncultured bacterium. RNAcentral's name for it is "partial 16S ribosomal RNA". It matches the Rfam family "Bacterial small subunit ribosomal RNA", at positions 28 to 507 of the family's 1533-position model. The record is from RNAcentral.